Cyprinus carpio (common carp) is the source of this 487-nucleotide long non-coding RNA. The record is from Ensembl. NCBI's taxonomy places the organism in Eukaryota, Metazoa, Chordata, Actinopteri, Cypriniformes, Cyprinidae.
AUGAUUUUAAAGUACUCGUUAUUAAAGAAUAAAGACUCAUGGUGAUCUUAAAAACAAAGAGAGAAAUAUUUUAAUUUAACCGUGUUUAACUUUUUAAUAUUUGUAACCUUUGACUGAUCUUUAAUGUCUAAUAACAAGGCUUGGUGCACACAUUAAAAAAAAAAAAAAAAAAAAAAAAAAUUCCACUGUCUCCAUGGGCUCUCUCUUCCAUAUAUGGAUAGAAGAGUAACGCUGCAUGACUAUUGGCUGUCCAGCUGAAGUUCGCGUGCUGAUUGGCUGAGUAAUACUGCGAUAGAGCGAGACCAACGGCAGAUGUUCCAGAAAUCUCCCUGAGAUUGAUCUUUGAGCUUUUUCUCCUGAGCAAUUCUUAAGCAUUACGAGCACUACUGACUCUCCACUGCAUAAUAUCCGACGAUCUAUUCAGGGCACGACCUGCAUUUUUCUCUGCAGCUGAACGCUUGGUUAGUGUGCAAAAUGCCUAAAUGAU